AAAGAUUUUAAUAAAGCAAAUGGUGGAUGCCUUGGCUGCUGAAGCCGAAGAAGGACGCAAAAGGCGGCGAAACUGAUCGGGGAGUUGCCAAUAAACGGUGAUCCGAUCGAAUCCGAAUGUAGAAAUACCAUCUAUCGAAAGAUAAAUGAGGCUACACGUAAGUGUGGCCGGGUAAUCCGGGGAAGCGAAACAUCCUAGUACCCGGGGGAAAAGAAAUCGUAUGAGAUUCCGUUAGUAGCGGUGAGCGAAAACGGAUGAGCCUAAACCACAAUUUAUUGUGGGGUUGCAGGGUUUUGCAUAAUAUUUUGAAAGAACAGAAAAAGUCUCUGGAAUGAGACACCAAAGAGGGUGAGAGUCCCGUAUUUGAAUUUUAAGUAAAAAUAGGCAGAAUACCUAAGUACCGCGAUCCACGUGAAAUGUCGCGGGAAUCUGGGGAGACCAAUCUCCAAGGCUAAAUACUUCAGCGGACCGAUAGUGAACUAGUACCGUGAGGGAAAGGUGAAAAAUACCCUAAAUAAGGGAGUGAAAUAAUUCUGAAACCAUUUGCUAACAAACAGACAGAGCUUGCGCUUCGCACUGAGGAUUUAAUACUUUCAAACUCUCGUUACCAUUUUUUCAAAACAGUCAAUGCUGACGUGUUGAAUCAUUUUGAAAAAAGAUAACUUCAAGUUUGAAAUUAUUGUCUUGAGUGCGGGGCGCGAGUGAUGUCGUGCCUAUUGAAGAAUGAGUCUGCGAGUAUUCUCAAUUACCAAGUCUAAGCCCCUAAAGGGGUGGAGGCGGAGCGAAAGCGAGUCUGAAUAAGGCUAUUAGGUAAUUGGGGGUGACCCGAAGCCACUUGAGCUAACCAUGGUCAGGGUGAACGUCAGUGAAAACUGACGGGAGGCCCGUACGGAUCAGAGCUGCAAAUCUGUCCGAUGAACUGUGGUUAGGGGUAAUAUGCCAAUCGAAAGUGGGAAUAGCUGGCUCUCUCCGAAAUAUAUAUAGGUAUAGCGUCUAGUGUUCCUUGGUGGGGGUAGAGCUACUGGAUGAAUGUUUUGAGCGCAAGUUCAGGCAUUUAACCAAACUCCGAAUACCGCCAAGUUAAGCUAGGCAGUCAGUCCGACCGGGCUAAGCUGGCCGGGCAAGAGGGGAAGACCCCAGACUAUCAUCUAAGGUCUCUAAGUUUAUGUUAAGUGGGAAAGGCGGUGGAUUGCCUAAGACAGACAGGAGGUUGGCUCAGAAGCAGCCAUCCUUUAAAGAAAGCGUAAUAGCUCACUGUUCGACCCGACCGCAAGGUUAGGUCGGCAAUCUGCACCUAAAAUGUAAGGAGGCUAAAACAUAACACCGAAGUUGUAGGCUUUGUUCUGAUUUAUCAGAACGGAGCAGUAGGAGAGCGUUCUAGAGGCGGUGAAGGUGACCCGUAAGGAGUUGCUGGAGCGUCUAGAAGUGAGAAUGCAGACAUGAGUAACGAAAUGGCAGUGAGAAUCUGCCACGUCGAAAUAUCCAAGGUUUCCUCAGCUACGUUGUUCGUCUGAGGGUAAGUCGAUCCUAACGCGAGGCCCUGUUUAAUAGGGGCGUAACGGAUGGAUAACCGGUUAAUAUUCCGGUACUUCCUAAAAUUCGUUUUAAUUUGGGGCGUGACGAUGUGUGGGGUUUUUGGUCCCGCAGUGAAAUUGCGGGAUUUAAGCGUCUAGCUAGAAGGGGUAGGAAAAUCCGCCUUUUCGUUAUAAAGUGAAGCGCGAAUAAGAGUCUUGAGAAAUCAGGACAAUCAAAAUGAACCCAUGUAUCCAAGAAAAGCGUCGCGAAUAGAAUUUUGGGAAAUCGUACUAAAACCGACACUGGUGGAUAAGUCGAGAAGACUAAGACGAUUGGAAGACAGAUGGUUAAGGAACUUGGCAAACAAACUGGGUGUAAGCUAUGCAAGAUACCCUGCCCACCCUAACAAGUGGGCUACAACAAAAGACUGUACGGCGACUGUUUACCACAAACACAGGUCCAUGCAAACCCGUAAGGGGAGGUAUAUGGGCUGAAACCUGACCGGUGCCAGAAGGUUAAAAUGGCGAGUGAUAGGCGUAAGUUUAUUGCUUGUUGUAUAAGCCCUGGUGAACGUCAGCAGUAACUCUAACUGUUCUAAGGUAGCGAAGUCCUUUGUCGUGUAAGUUACGACACGUAUGAAAGGUUUAACGACUGUACAACUGUCUUAACCAUCUAUCCAGUGAAAUUGAAAGAGCGGUGAAGAUGCCGUUUAAUUACUACAGGACAAAAAGACCCCAUGAAGCUUUACUGGAUCUUUACAUUGAUAAGAAUAUAAUGAUUGUCGAGAGUAGGAGGGAGCGCUUGCGCAACGAUGGAACACCUCCCUUUGUUAUAUUUGAAUCUUACCUAUCCGAAUGAAUCUUCGGAGGGGACCGUGUAUGGUUGCUAGUUUGCCUGGGGCAGGCACCUGCAAAAAAGUAACGCGGGUACACAAAGGUCAACUUGGUCCGGCAGGAAAUCGGACUGUAAGUGCAAAAACAUAAGUUGGCUUGACUGUGAGACAUACUAGUCGAAGUCCCGCAAGGGACGUUCCAAUCAUUAAUUUAGUUUGGAAUCAGGGUCGAAAGACGGUUUUAGUGAUCCUCGUGACUCAUUUGGUAUGAGCACGGGCUUACUGGAUAAAAGCUACUCUGGGGAUAACAGGCUAGUCGCAUCCGAUAGUUCACAUUGACGAUGCGGUUCGGCACCUCGAUGUCGACUUGGCGCAUCCUGGCCCUGAAGAAGGGGCCAAGGGUUGGUCUGUUCGCCCAUUAAAGCGCUGCGUUAGUUGGGUUCAGAGCGUCGCGAGACAGCUCGGUCUCUAUCCGUAGUAAUCGUUCGAUUCUUGAAGGAAUUCAUCUACAGUACGAGAGGACCUAGAUGAGGAAACCUCUAGUGUGCCAGUUGUCCCGUCAGGGGCAUCGCUGGGUAGCUACGUUUCUAUUAGAUAACUGCUGAAAGCAUCUCAAGCAGGAAACUGACCCUAAGAUAAGGAAUCGUUGUCCGACGCAAGUCGGAUGAGAAAUCGCCGGGAGACUACCGGUUAAUACGCCGCGUGUGGAAGGCUCGUAAGAGUUUAAGCUAAGCGGUGGAAUGAUUAAAGAAAUCUUCAA
This 3107-nucleotide ribosomal RNA is filed under the name Candidatus Shapirobacteria bacterium. Its description in RNAcentral is "23S ribosomal RNA". It matches the Rfam family "Bacterial large subunit ribosomal RNA". Lineage: Bacteria; Candidatus Shapironibacteriota. The record is from RNAcentral.